AUGACCUUCACCAUCAUCUUCAUCUGGACACUUUUAUUCUCGUUACAAGGUUGUAAAUCACAGAUCAAAGUAACUCAAAGUCCUUCAGUGAAAACUGCAGCACGAGGAGACUCUGUUACUAUGAACUGUAGACUGAGUUCCUCCACAUACUGUAACCCAAAACCCUGUGUGGAUUGGUACUUACAGAAACCUGGAGAAGCUCCUAAACUCCUGAUAUAUGCAGCAUCAAACAGCUUCACAGGUACUCCAUCAAGAUUCAGUGGCAGUGGAUCAAACACAGAUUUGACUUUGAGAAUCAGUGAAGUUCAGACUGAAGAUGAAGGAGAUUAUUACUGUAUGAGUGCACACAGCAUCAGUGGUAGCUUAGUGUUCACACAGUGA
Misgurnus anguillicaudatus (oriental weatherfish) is the source of this 381-nucleotide non-coding RNA. Lineage: Eukaryota; Metazoa; Chordata; Actinopteri; Cypriniformes; Cobitidae. The record is from the annotation of a RefSeq genome assembly.